CUUGGGCUCCUCCCCGGCUCCUCCCCCGGGCCGGCUGGGCAAGAACCCGAGAAGGUGGCAGCGGAAACCGGAGCCCGGCGCCGGGCGGCCGCAAGGGCCUCGGCCCGGAGAGCUCCGCCGCCGCUUGCCAAGGUGGAGACUGAGGCCUGGAGCGGUGAAGGACCCUGCCUAGGCCACUACUGUGUGGCGGAGGGAUAAAGCCCAAUGGAAACCCUGGACUGUCUGCUCCCCAGUCUGGGCUACUCCUCUCCAGGGUGAAAACAUCCUGACCCCCCUCAGGAGUGUCCAUCUUGGGCACUGAGUCCCCCAAGGGAAGGAAGGGCUGAGCCUGCCUGGAGCCAGCUGGAACUUGGUGGGAAACCUCCAGCCACCUGAGAUAAGGUCAAACCAAGCAGGGUGUGGAGGUGCACACUUGUAAUCCCGACACUUUGUAAACUGAGGCAGGAGGAUCACCAUGAGUUCAACGCCAGCCUGGGCUACAUGGUGAGUGCCAGGCCAGUUUGGAAUACAUAGCAAGACCUUGUCUCAAAAUGCAAAAACCAAAACAAUAACAAAAGAUCCAACCAUAUGGUUUGUUCUGCAACAUGUUAUUUUGCUCUUAAUAUUUCCAUGCAAUAAACAUGUGUACACAUCCA
Molecule: long non-coding RNA, 635 nt
Organism: Cavia porcellus (domestic guinea pig)
Lineage: Eukaryota; Metazoa; Chordata; Mammalia; Rodentia; Caviidae
Exons: 2
Source: RefSeq, a predicted model, not a curated record